UUGAAGUAGAUCAGGAUUUCUGUUGUAGAGCAUAACUAGUUGUGACUGGAUUUCAGGGUCAAAAUAUAAGAGUAACGUUGCUGCGAAUGUUAGUCGUGUGAGGGCAAAAGCUGAGGGCUUGAAUAAACAAGUAUGGGUCAUUAAUUCAAAAGUGGAGAUCAAGAACUUUAGAGUGAAAACAGCAUCUUAUUGAGGAUGUACUAUUGAUUUGAUCUUGCUUGGAUGAUGUUGUUCUCACGUGAUUUUAAGUUGCUGAUUCGCCCUCGCGUUUUGGUCACUAAAAUGAGAUGCCUGCCAUAUGUUUGUGAAGAUGCCUGAAUGAAUAUCUACGUAGUGUCUUCAUCAGUCCACAUGCAAGAUAUUCAUGGCUUACUUAAAUCAUGAUGCCCAAAUUGAUUUCAUCUUGCUUACUGUCGAUCUAAUCAAUAUGAGCAAUUUUAGCAUUAUGGCAUGCUUAAAACCUGUGCUCAUUGGCCUCGUUGAUUGUGAGUAAUAUUCGUUUUCACUUUGAACCAGAUUGAGUCGUAGAAAAUAAUAAAUCUCUGUUCUGGUCUGGUUUUACUCAAAUUUGGGAAGUUUUUCUAGAUCAAGCAAAGAUCAAUUGAUGGAUAAAACUGAUGGUUGGAGUUGGCGGAUAUGAGCAGAAAUUUGUAGAAAUAAAAACAUGGUUUGUUACUUUUGUCGACCCUUUUAAGGUUGUAAGGUUUGCUGUGAUUCAUUUUUAGAACUACUCUUUGAGCAUUGUCUAGAUGGUUUUAUAAACCAUUAGUUAUGCAUUAUGUUCUAAUUCAUUUGUGGCUGAUUUGUAUGUCCUCAUGAUGAUCAUUUUUCGACUAUCAAUUUGACGUCAAUUGGACUCAACUUCUCUUAAGAAGUGGGCUUGUUUUAAUCUUUCCUAUGAUGCUGAUCUCGCAUGAUUUGCAAUGAGUUGAUGAUUAUUGAUGAUGAACUUGAAGUUGAUUGAACUUGAUUUGCCUUGAUCUGCAAAUUCGUAUACCUGAUAUAUCACUUUCUGUUUUGGCUGAAACGAGGUGAUAGAUAAGGUUUUUUUUACUUCAAGCCCUUCUAGGCAUAUAAAAUGCACUUCUAGAGCUUCAAUUUGAUAUGUUGCACGCCCUGAACGGACGUCGUUCAGUCAUCGAAAAACACCUACAAAGUCUGUCAAUUCUGCAGUAGUUUUUAGGUUGAUUUGCUGUUCUGCGAUUCUGUUUUAACUGAACUGAGCUGGUAGAUGAUGUUAUUAGGACAUGUCUUCUAGAGAUUUGUAAUAGACUUCUCAAGCUUUCCAUAGACAUAUUAUAUGUGCGAUUUGGCCAUCAUUUGCCCUGCCUGAUGCUUCUUGCAAAGAGCACUAAUCUGCUGAUGUGUUCUGCUUGUUAUGAUCUGAUCUGACCACUUAUACAAAUGGCUUUGCUUGAGCUAGAAAAAGACCUAAAUUGCAAUUGUCACCUAAUAGGAAUUCUUAAAGGACACCUUGAGCUUUUUAACGAUGCCUAGUUUGUCCAAUUUGCCCAUCAUUUGCCCUGCUUUUCUUUUUUUUUUUUAGAUCAAGUUUUGAAGUCUGAAUUUGUCUUGACCUGCAGUGCUGUCUUGUCUCUAUGAAUCUGACUGUCUAUCAAUUUUGUGUGAUCUUAUACAUAAUGAUCUUGAGGAUAAAUUCUCAAUGAAAGCUGUCCAUAAUAUCCAUAUCCAUCCCAUGCUAAAAUUUGAGAAUUUUUAAGGUCAAGUAACCUUAGAAUUCAAGUUGACACGUAGCAAUUUAAAUUGUUAUGCAUUUUGCUCCUAAUGAC
RNAcentral lists this long non-coding RNA (1790 nucleotides) under Eucalyptus grandis. RNAcentral describes it as "long non-coding RNA (EGRA_LNC005545)". The record is from RNAcentral. Lineage: Eukaryota; Viridiplantae; Streptophyta; Magnoliopsida; Myrtales; Myrtaceae.